ACUGUAACCCUCCCAAAGCCUUAACACCUUUCCAUCCACGCAUGUGGAUGUCCUGGGUUCAACCACAGCUGAACUGCUUUCUCUCUGCUGCUUCUCCCAUCAGGGCCAGCAACGUGCAAGGCAGCCUGCACACCUCAACAGUCCUUCUGCUGGUCCUUACACCUACAACCAGCUUGAAAAGUUACUCAGCAGUGAAAAUCAAGACACCCUGGCUCAGAGAGGUGUUAUUGCAACGUGAUGGGCCUGCAGCAGGCAUUUCCCAAAUGCU
This is a long non-coding RNA of Calidris pygmaea (Spoon-billed sandpiper), 268 nucleotides long. NCBI's taxonomy places the organism in Eukaryota, Metazoa, Chordata, Aves, Charadriiformes, Scolopacidae. The record is from Ensembl.